GACGAACGCUGGCGGCGUGCUUAACACAUGCAAGUCGAACGAUGAAGCCGGAGCUUGCUCUGGUGAAUUAGUGGCGAACGGGUGAGUAACACGUGAGUAACCUGCCCUUGACUCUGGGAUAACUGCGGGAAACUGUAGCUAAUACCGGAUACGACCCUCGGAGGCAUCUCCUGGGGGUGGAAAGAAUUUCGGUCAAGGAUGGACUCGCGGCCUAUCAGCUAGUUGGUGAGGUAAAGGCUCACCAAGGCGACGACGGGUAGCCGGCCUGAGAGGGUGACCGGCCACACUGGGACUGAGACACGGCCCAGACUCCUACGGGAGGCAGCAGUGGGGAAUAGUGCACAAUGGGCGCAAGCCUGAUGCAGCACCGCCGCGUGAGGGAUGACGGCCUUCGGGUUGUAAACCUCUUUUAGCAGGGAAGAAGCGAAAGUGACGGUACCUGCAGAAAAAGCACCGGCUAACUACGUGCCAGCCGCCGCGGUAA
RNAcentral lists this ribosomal RNA (484 nucleotides) under uncultured bacterium. RNAcentral's name for it is "partial 16S ribosomal RNA". It matches the Rfam family "Bacterial small subunit ribosomal RNA", at positions 28 to 523 of the family's 1533-position model. The record is from RNAcentral.